Long non-coding RNA from Micropterus salmoides (largemouth bass), 340 nucleotides. RefSeq lists it as uncharacterized. The transcript has 3 exons. The record is from RefSeq and is a predicted model, not a curated record. Lineage: Eukaryota; Metazoa; Chordata; Actinopteri; Centrarchiformes; Centrarchidae.
GGCAGUUUGUUGCAGCUUUAUUGCAUUAAGUUUGUUUCUUUCAUUAGACAAAAAAAAGUCAGUCAUUACAUUUGCCCAGCCCUCUUUUAGUACAAGGCUGUGAUUUUACUGCUGCAACAAACAUUUCCAGACAACAGAGAAAGGACAGUCAUGAUGCUUGCAGUUUUCCUCUUUCUGCUCACCCUCACAGGUAGAAGUACAUCCAAUUACACAGAGCCACCGGAGCAACAUGAUGAUCAACAGAACUUCAAUCAGAGCUCUGAAAAAAUAAAUAGGGAUUCCUCUGAGGGUAAAUGUGGUUAUCAGGAUGUUUUGAACCACCUGAACCUGACCAAAAAAA